AACGAACGCUGGCGGCAUGCCUAACACAUGCAAGUCGAACGAGACGUCCGGGUCUUUUGGCGCACGGCGGUGUAACGCGUGGGAACCUGCCCUUAGGUUCGGCAUAACUCCCCGAAUGGGGUGCUAAUACCGGAUAAUGUCUUCUGCCCAAAGAUUUAUUGCCUUUGGAUGGGCCCUCGUUGGAUUAGGUGGUUGGUAGGGUAAUAGCCUACUAGGGCGAGGAUUCAUAGCUGGUCUGAGAGGAUGAUCAGCCACACUGGGGCUGAGACACGGCCGAGACUCCUACGGGAGGCGGCAGUGGGGAAUAGAGGAACGUGGGGGAAAGCAUGAAGGAGCCCGGACGCGUGAGUGAUGAAGGCCGGAGGGAAGUAAAGCUCUAUUAACCGGGAUGAUAAUGACAGUACCGGGAGAAUAAGCCCCGGCUAACUCCGUG
RNAcentral lists this ribosomal RNA (433 nucleotides) under uncultured bacterium. RNAcentral's name for it is "partial 16S ribosomal RNA". It matches the Rfam family "Bacterial small subunit ribosomal RNA", at positions 29 to 507 of the family's 1533-position model. The record is from RNAcentral.